UACGUAGGGGGCAAGCGUUAUCCGGAUUUACUGGGUGUAAAGGGAGCGCAGGCGGCGCGGCAAGUCUGAUGUGAAAGCCCGGGGCUCAACCCCGGGACUGCAUUGGAAACUGUCGCGCUCGAGUGUCGGAGAGGUAAGUGGAAUUCCUAGUGUAGCGGUGAAAUGCGUAGAUAUCACGCAGAACGCCGAUUGCGAAGGCAGCAUACCGGCGCCCAACUGACGCUGAGGCACGAAAGCGUGGGGAUCGAACAGG
RNAcentral lists this ribosomal RNA (253 nucleotides) under uncultured Lachnospiraceae bacterium. RNAcentral describes it as "partial 16S ribosomal RNA". It matches the Rfam family "Bacterial small subunit ribosomal RNA", at positions 524 to 776 of the family's 1533-position model. Lineage: Bacteria; Bacillati; Bacillota; Clostridia; Lachnospirales; Lachnospiraceae. The record is from RNAcentral.